Molecule: RNase P RNA, 403 nt
Filed under: Nocardioides mangrovicus
Lineage: Bacteria; Bacillati; Actinomycetota; Actinomycetes; Propionibacteriales; Nocardioidaceae
Description: Bacterial RNase P class A
Rfam family: Bacterial RNase P class A
About the family: Ribonuclease P (RNase P) is a ubiquitous endoribonuclease, found in archaea, bacteria and eukarya as well as chloroplasts and mitochondria. Its best characterised activity is the generation of mature 5'-ends of tRNAs by cleaving the 5'-leader elements of precursor-tRNAs.
Source: Rfam by way of RNAcentral
UGGGCUGGCCGGGCGACCGCGGCGCACACCCCCACGGGGGCGGACGUCGAGGAAGGUCCGGGCUCCACAGGGCAGGGCGGUGGGUAACACCCACCCGGGGAAACCCGCGGGACAGUGCCACAGAGAACAGACCGCCACUGCCUCACGGCAGCGGUCAGGGUGAAACGGUGGUGUAAGAGACCACCAGCGCGGCGGGCGACCGUCGCGGCUCGGCAAACCCCGCCUGGAGCAAGGUCAAGAAGGACCCUCCCCGGAGGGUCCGCGCGGACGAGGCGGCCCGCCUCAUCGUCCGCGGGUGGACUGCAGGAGGCGGCCGGCAACGGUCGUCGUAGAUGGAUGGUCGCCCACCGGGCGCCGGCAACGGCCCCGGGGACAGAACCCGGCCUACAGGCCAGCCCGUCCG